RNAcentral lists this transfer RNA (73 nucleotides) under Vagococcus teuberi. RNAcentral describes it as "tRNA-Gly". It matches the Rfam family "tRNA". Rfam says of the family: Transfer RNA (tRNA) molecules are approximately 80 nucleotides in length. Their secondary structure includes four short double-helical elements and three loops (D, anti-codon, and T loops). Further hydrogen bonds mediate the characteristic L-shaped molecular structure. tRNAs have two regions of fundamental functional importance: the anti-codon, which is responsible for specific mRNA codon recognition, and the 3' end, to which the tRNAs corresponding amino acid is attached (by aminoacyl-tRNA synthetases). tRNAs cope with the degeneracy of the genetic code in two manners: having more than one tRNA (with a specific anti-codon) for a particular amino acid; and 'wobble' base-pairing, i.e. permitting non-standard base-pairing at the 3rd anti-codon position. The record is from RNAcentral. Lineage: Bacteria; Bacillati; Bacillota; Bacilli; Lactobacillales; Enterococcaceae.
GCGGGUGUAGUUUAGUGGUAAAAACUACAGCCUUCCAAGCUGUUGUCGCCGGUUCGAUUCUCGUCACCCCGCU